CUGGGGAGUACGACCGCAAGGUUAAAACUCAAAUGAAUUGACGGGGGACCCGCACAAGCGGUGGAUCAUGUGGUUUAAUUCGAAGAUACGCGCAGAACCUUACCAACCCUUGACAUGCCUGUCGCGAGUUUAGGAAACUAGACUCUUCGGUUCGGCCGGACAGGACACAGGUGCUGCAUGGCUGUCGUCAGCUCGUGUCGCGAGAUGUUGGGUUAAGUCCCGCAACGAGCGCAACCCCUACUUUUAGUUGCCAUCAGGUAAUGCUGGGCACUCUGAAAGAACUGCCAGUGAUAAGCUGGAGGAAGGUGGGGAUGACGUCAAGUCCUCAUGGCCCUUACGGGUUGGGCUACACACGUGAUACAAUGGUAAUGACAGUGAGAUGCUAAGUGGCGACGCUAAGCUAAACUCAAAAAGUUACCUCAGUUCGGAUUGUUCUCUGCAACUCGAGAGCAUGAAGCUGGAAUCGCUAGCAAUCGUAGAUCAGCGUGCUACGGUGAAUACGUUCCCGGGUCU
This 513-nucleotide ribosomal RNA is filed under the name uncultured Alphaproteobacteria bacterium. RNAcentral describes it as "bacterial SSU rRNA". It matches the Rfam family "Bacterial small subunit ribosomal RNA", at positions 873 to 1381 of the family's 1533-position model. Lineage: Bacteria; Pseudomonadati; Pseudomonadota; Alphaproteobacteria. The record is from RNAcentral.